UCGUAUAAUCGCCGGAGAAAGCCAUAGAAAGAAAAUCUUAGGGUUCAAACAAUGACGACGGCGACUGAGACUAUCUCCGCCGCGAUAAAUCAGAUUGAUGAGAAGAAGGAACAGUUAAAGAAAGCUUUCGACGAUCUUCAAGCUCAUCGAUCUCUCCUUUCACCGUCUUUCUCUCUUUCCUGGUCUGAGAUCGACUCCCACUUCUCCUCUCUCCAAUCCUCCCUCUCUAACCGAUUCCGCCUCCUCCAAUCAGCAUCUCCUGUGAAAGAUGAUUCGUCUAGACUCGAAACUUCUGAUCCAGAGACAUCUCCGGAGGAUCAUCAACCCGUUGUUGAGCCGGAGUUGAGAACGUUGUGUGAGAAUAAUGACGGAAUUGGUUUGACAAAGUAUUUGAUCCGUCGUUGGGAUGAUGAUGCGCCUAUGAACCUCGAGGCUUCUGCUGCGAUUCGCUACUCUCCGAAUCCGGCGUCAAUGGUGCUCGACGCGAUCGAAGGUUCGAAGCAGAACCACACUCCAUCGUCGUCAUCGGGGAAACCAUUCGAUGUAAGGAGAGUUUUGGUUUUGUUAAUGGAAGCUUUGAUUGAGAUCAAUGCGAGUAUCACGGUUGAUACGAGAAAGAGAGCUAAGAAACUGGCUUACGAUUUGAAAACGAAGAUAGGUUCAAAGCCUUUCGAGGCGUUAGUGUUUUUGCAUUUAGUCGCAGCUUUCGAAUUAGGAUCUGAGUUUGACUCUGAGGUGCUUUCUGAUUACGUUUUCAUGAUCGCUAAAUACAAGCAAGCUACUACGGUGUGUAACAAGAUUGAUUUAGGUAGCGAAAGAGUUGGAUUACUAAUCAAGAAGCUCUUGGAUUCUGGUAAACCAAUCUUUGCAGUUAGAUUCAUGUAUGAGUGUGGGAUGACUGAUGAAUUCGAACCAAUCACUGUUUUGAAAGCUCACAUUAAGGAUUCGAGAGAAGCUGCUCGUAAAGUUUGUAAGGAAGAUAACUACUCUCUGAAGUCACAGAACGAAGCCAUCGAUAAAGAAGUCAGUGCAUUGAAAUCAGCGAUCAAAAUCAUCAAAGAUCAAAACCUUGAAUCCGAGUUUACUCAGGAGAAAGUUGAGGAGCGUGUAGAGGAGCUGGAGAAAUGCAAGGCACUGAGGAAACGCAACACCACUAAUACUCCCCAGAAAGAGUCACAGCAAAAGGGGAAAAAGCGGGAUCGAGACUGCAAUGUGACACAAGUUCCAGUUACGAGUCAGCAGCUACUUUCUAGACCAGAAGCUCUUCUUAUGCCGCCUGAGCAUAGUCAUCGUGGCUUACAGUUAAAUUCUUAUGGUCUUAUGACCCCAGCAUUUACUGGUGUUGUUGUGAACCCAUUAGCUGGGCACUUUGGUUCAGCUGCAACUCCUCAAUCUCUUUACUAUACUCAACAAACUGGAUUUGUGUUGCCGCCUGGAUACCACCCACCUUAUUAUUCUCAGUAGCAGCAUCUCGACCCUCUUUGUAGCACUAAGAAGGUUUUGGAAACAGAAGAUUAAGAAAAGUCCUUGGAGCAAGCGUAAUUCCUGUCUGAUGCAUAUGCCAUAGAUUUAUAGGCUAGAAGCUCCAUUCUGGCAAUGUGACAAAUAGGACAUGGGCAUUAGCAAUGUAGUUUGAAACAAGAGCUCUUGAAAUGGAUCGCAUGUGAAAUGGAUUUUGG
Non-coding RNA from Camelina sativa (false flax), 1679 nucleotides. The record is from RefSeq and is a predicted model, not a curated record. NCBI's taxonomy places the organism in Eukaryota, Viridiplantae, Streptophyta, Magnoliopsida, Brassicales, Brassicaceae.